Molecule: transfer RNA, 78 nt
Filed under: Blattabacterium sp. (Blattella germanica) str. Bge
Lineage: Bacteria; Pseudomonadati; Bacteroidota; Flavobacteriia; Flavobacteriales; Blattabacteriaceae
Description: tRNA-Gly
Rfam family: tRNA
About the family: Transfer RNA (tRNA) molecules are approximately 80 nucleotides in length. Their secondary structure includes four short double-helical elements and three loops (D, anti-codon, and T loops).
Source: RNAcentral
AGCGGAAGUAGCUCAGUUGGUAGAGCAUCAGCCUUCCAAGUUGAAUGUCGCGGGUUCGAAUCCCGUCUUCCGCUCUAA